UCUCUUUGUUUAUUGGAUUAACAUUUUCUAAAAUAGCAAGAAACCAAAAAUAUAAAAAAUAAUAAAAACGAUAAGACUCUUUCUCUCUGCACCUUGUACAUGACUUUUUCAUGACAGUAUCUCACAAUGUUUUGUUAUAAGUCGAAGGUAAAAUGAAUAAGUACAUGUUUCAGUCUUGCCAGCUGUUCUGUAGCAGCUCCUUGAGAUGGAGGGAUCCCUUUGAGUUACAACCAAAUCAUCUUAAAAUUAUAGCAGUGGGAGUUUUGACUCACCUUUUCAUAUCUUCCACUACUCAAAUGUCCAGCCUCUGCAUUUUGAAUGCCCCAUCAUCCAGACUACUGGAGGACAGUGUGGCGACUCCCUGUGAGUUCUGUGACGGGGCCCUUGAGGAGAACAUUGAAAUUCGUCAUCAGAAAAAUGGCAAGGAGCAUCCUUUGGUUGUGGUGAUUGUAACAGCUACUAAAAGGAGUCUCUUUAAGAUGGGGCCGAGUAAUGCAUGUAGGUGCAUAACUGCUGUGCAGUAG
Pygocentrus nattereri (red-bellied piranha) is the source of this 524-nucleotide long non-coding RNA. Lineage: Eukaryota; Metazoa; Chordata; Actinopteri; Characiformes; Serrasalmidae. The record is from Ensembl.